RNAcentral lists this long non-coding RNA (1499 nucleotides) under Macaca mulatta (Rhesus monkey). RNAcentral describes it as "lncRNA (ENSMMUG00000057108.1)". Lineage: Eukaryota; Metazoa; Chordata; Mammalia; Primates; Cercopithecidae. The record is from RNAcentral.
CAAUCGUUCAUAAAGAUAAAGCUUGAGAAAUUGUUCCUUUUCUAAAAUGGUACAGUUCAAAGUCUCUUCUCAUCAACCUUAUUUUUCAUAGUCCCAACUCUGUUCUGCAUUGGGCAGCUUGCACAUCAGUACGAUCUGCCAUUCAUCAUUCAGUAUUGAGCCUCUUGAGGAUCUUUUUUAUAACAAAAGUGUAUCAGUAUCUUUGUAAAUCCAAAAAUGGACAAUGGAAUUAGUUGCAGUGUCAAGGAUAGAAAGAGUUGACAGGAAAGAUUUUAGGAUAAAAUAUUGAAUCAUGUUUGAAGGACAUUUACGUUUUACCUUUUAUCCUUUUAUAAAGGGAAGAGAUUUUAUGAAACACAGCACUAAGCUAAGUAACAGGAAUACAAGACAGUAUUGAGCUAAAAUCUUAUACUGAUAUGACAAUUCCACGUACAAAUAUAAAAAUGUAAUCUAUUGCUCUGUAAAGAUAGUUGGGUGGGAAAUUAAAUAAGCUGUGAUAGCAAUGCUUAAAACUAACAUCCCCAGGUUUUAAGAGAUUUUAAGAGUUUGAUAAUAAUUGCUUUUUAAAAAAUCUUAAAUCUAUGGGAAUUUUCACUGCUAAAGUGAAUCUUAAAAAUAACCUUUUCUAUUUAAUAUAUAAAUGCAGGUGCUGUAGACACGGCUGACAACGUGUGUACUCAGAGACACAGACUGCUCUUUUAAGUCAGACCCAGAGCUCAACAGGGCCAUUGUGAAACUGCAGGUGAAAUCCGUUCCCGGCCUUCUACAUCAGUCCCCAGUGACCCUCAGCCUCAAACCACCACGUAGGAUGUUCUGUUCGAGGCACUUAUACGCUCAUGGGCCUCAUGAAUUAUCACCGACAAGAAAUACAUUUAUUUCCAUGUGAAUUCCAUCAUUAACAGUGCUAUAAAUAAUGGUAAGCCAGAGGAAAAAUUUUUAAUUGGAAGCACAUGGGCAAGGAUUUUAAGUUUCCUUCUAUUUCAUCAGGGUGAUUUUAUUUCCAUGGGCAUUCAUUAUCGUACCUGACAACUGAUGGCUUUAUAGGUGAUUUUAUUGGAGGUUUUAGAGAAGACUUAAACAGGCAGAGAUUAGCAAAGUAACAAGUGACGUUGUCAAGCAGGGAGGUGGUCAUCACUGCGUAGGCAGAGAAAGGGGAGGAAAGGUGAAGAGUCUACCACUCAUCAUUUUUUUUCACACGGAAGCAAUGUGAAGGUUGAUAAGAUGGAAAAAUGGCAUUAGACAGAGUUAAUGAGAAUAGCUAAUAGAAAAAGUGGUUCUACAAUUGAAACAUACCUCGAAAUUUCACACAACAAAGUGGUAACCAGGUCACAUUGCCGAGAGCACUGAGCUAUGUGAAACUAAAGCAGAAAAGCAAAAAGUCCCACUGCCAAAUUUACUUUCAGGCCUCUGCUGAAUGGCCAUCUUUCAGCCCAGAGCCAGGAAUUGAUUCUCUGGCAUCUCUUUUCUCAAUAUUUUGAAUUUGGAUGUAUCAAUUUGUG